UACAGAGGGUGCGAGCGUUAAUCGGAAUUACUGGGCGUAAAGCGUGCGUAGACGGUAGCGUAAGUCAGAUGUGAAAGCCCCGGGCUCAACCUGGGAAUUGCAUUUGAGACUGCUCUGCUCGGGUGCGGAAGAGGGAAGCGGAAUUUCCGGUGUAGCGGUGAAAUGCGUAGAUAUCGGAAGGAACACCAGUGGCGAAAGCGGCUUCCUGGUC
Molecule: ribosomal RNA, 211 nt
Filed under: uncultured bacterium
Lineage: Bacteria
Description: partial 16S ribosomal RNA
Rfam family: Bacterial small subunit ribosomal RNA
Source: RNAcentral